This 253-nucleotide ribosomal RNA is filed under the name uncultured bacterium. RNAcentral's name for it is "partial 16S ribosomal RNA". It matches the Rfam family "Bacterial small subunit ribosomal RNA", at positions 524 to 776 of the family's 1533-position model. The record is from RNAcentral.
UACGUAGGGGGCAAGCGUUGUCCGGAAUCAUUGGGCGUAAAGAGCGUGUAGGCGGCUCGAUAAGUCUGCUGUGAAAGUCCAGGGCUCAACCCUGGAAGGCCGGUGGAAACUGUCGGGCUAGAGUGCGGAAGGGGCUACUGGAAUUCUCGGUGUAGCGGUGAAAUGCGUAGAUAUCGAGAGGAACACCUGCGGCGAAGGCGGGUAGCUGGGCCGACACUGACGCUGAGGCGCGAAAGCCAGGGGAGCGAACGGG